This 74-nucleotide transfer RNA is filed under the name Zostera marina. RNAcentral's name for it is "tRNA-Met". It matches the Rfam family "tRNA". From Rfam's summary of the family: Transfer RNA (tRNA) molecules are approximately 80 nucleotides in length. Their secondary structure includes four short double-helical elements and three loops (D, anti-codon, and T loops). Lineage: Eukaryota; Viridiplantae; Streptophyta; Magnoliopsida; Alismatales; Zosteraceae. The record is from RNAcentral.
GGGAUGGUGGCGCAGUUGGCUAGCGCGUAGGUCUCAUAAUCCUGAGGUCGAGAGUUCGAGCCUCUCUCAUCCCA